Molecule: ribosomal RNA, 1426 nt
Filed under: bacterium
Lineage: Bacteria
Description: bacterial SSU rRNA
Rfam family: Bacterial small subunit ribosomal RNA
Source: RNAcentral
GGACUACACAUGCAGUCGAGCGGUAGCACAGAGAGCUUGCUCUCGGGUGACGAGCGGCGGACGGGUGAGUAAUGUCUGGGAAACUGCCUGAUGGAGGGGGAUAACUACUGGAAACGGUAGCUAAUACCGCAUAACGUCGCAAGACCAAAGUGGGGGACCUUCGGGCCUCAUGCCAUCAGAUGUGCCCAGAUGGGAUUAGCUGGUAGGUGGGGUAACGGCUCACCUAGGCGACGAUCCCUAGCUGGUCUGAGAGGAUGACCAGCCACACUGGAACUGAGACACGGUCCAGACUCCUACGGGAGGCAGCAGUGGGGAAUAUUGCACAAUGGGCGCAAGCCUGAUGCAGCCAUGCCGCGUGUGUGAAGAAGGCCUUCGGGUUGUAAAGCACUUUCAGCGGGGAGGAAGGCGGUGAGGUUAAUAACCUCACCGAUUGACGUUACCCGCAGAAGAAGCACCGGCUAACUCCGUGCCAGCAGCCGCGGUAAUACGGAGGGUGCAAGCGUUAAUCGGAAUUACUGGGCGUAAAGCGCACGCAGGCGGUCUGUCAAGUCGGAUGUGAAAUCCCCGGGCUCAACCUGGGAACUGCAUUCGAAACUGGCAGGCUAGAGUCUUGUAGAGGGGGGUAGAAUUCCAGGUGUAGCGGUGAAAUGCGUAGAGAUCUGGAGGAAUACCGGUGGCGAAGGCGGCCCCCUGGACAAAGACUGACGCUCAGGUGCGAAAGCGUGGGGAGCAAACAGGAUUAGAUACCCUGGUAGUCCACGCUGUAAACGAUGUCGAUUUGGAGGUUGUGCCCUUGAGGCGUGGCUUCCGGAGCUAACGCGUUAAAUCGACCGCCUGGGGAGUACGGCCGCAAGGUUAAAACUCAAAUGAAUUGACGGGGGCCCGCACAAGCGGUGGAGCAUGUGGUUUAAUUCGAUGCAACGCGAAGAACCUUACCUGGUCUUGACAUCCACAGAACUUUCCAGAGAUGGAUUGGUGCCUUCGGGAACUGUGAGACAGGUGCUGCAUGGCUGUCGUCAGCUCGUGUUGUGAAAUGUUGGGUUAAGUCCCGCAACGAGCGCAACCCUUAUCCUUUGUUGCCAGCGGUCCGGCCGGGAACUCAAAGGAGACUGCCAGUGAUAAACUGGAGGAAGGUGGGGAUGACGUCAAGUCAUCAUGGCCCUUACGACCAGGGCUACACACGUGCUACAAUGGCAUAUACAAAGAGAAGCGACCUCGCGAGAGCAAGCGGACCUCAUAAAGUAUGUCGUAGUCCGGAUUGGAGUCUGCAACUCGACUCCAUGAAGUCGGAAUCGCUAGUAAUCGUAGAUCAGAAUGCUACGGUGAAUACGUUCCCGGGCCUUGUACACACCGCCCGUCACACCAUGGGAGUGGGUUGCAAAAGAAGUAGGUAGCUUAACCUUCGGGAGGGCGCUACCACUUUGAU